AAAGAACUCCCUCCGUCCCAAAAUAAGUGGCUCAAAAGUGACUCAACUUUGUACUAUUAGUACAAAGUUGAGUCACUUUUGAGCCACUUAUUUUUGGACGGAGGGAGUACAUG
Molecule: non-coding RNA, 113 nt
Organism: Triticum aestivum (bread wheat)
Lineage: Eukaryota; Viridiplantae; Streptophyta; Magnoliopsida; Poales; Poaceae
Source: Rfam